ACAGCAGCCGCCGCGGUAAUACAGAGGGUGCGAGCGUUAAUCGGAUUUACUGGGCGUAAAGCGUGCGUAGGCGGCUUUUUAAGUCGGAUGUGAAAUCCCUGAGCUUAACUUAGGAAUUGCAUUCGAUACUGGGAAGCUAGAGUAUGGGAGAGGAUGGUAGAAUUCCAGGUGUAGCGGUGAAAUGCGUAGAGAUCUGGAGGAAUACCGAUGGCGAAGGCAGCCAUCUGGCCUAAUACUGACGCUGAGGUACGAAAGCAUGGGGAGCAAACAGGAUUAGAUACCCCCGUAGUCCCUGUCUCUUAACA
This 305-nucleotide ribosomal RNA is filed under the name uncultured bacterium. Its description in RNAcentral is "partial 16S ribosomal RNA". It matches the Rfam family "Bacterial small subunit ribosomal RNA", at positions 508 to 808 of the family's 1533-position model. The record is from RNAcentral.